UAAGUGAUUGAUUUAAGUGGAAAUUGAAUCGGUCUCGAAAACCGGAGUAGGGGCAACUCUACCGGGGGUUCAAAUCCCCCUCUCUCCGCCA
Molecule: transfer RNA, 91 nt
Filed under: Phytobacter sp. MRY16-398
Lineage: Bacteria; Pseudomonadati; Pseudomonadota; Gammaproteobacteria; Enterobacterales; Enterobacteriaceae
Description: tRNA-Ser
Source: RNAcentral